This 253-nucleotide ribosomal RNA is filed under the name uncultured bacterium. Its description in RNAcentral is "partial 16S ribosomal RNA". It matches the Rfam family "Bacterial small subunit ribosomal RNA", at positions 524 to 776 of the family's 1533-position model. The record is from RNAcentral.
UACGUAGGGGGCAAGCGUUGUCCGGAAUCAUUGGGCGUAAAGAGCGCGUAGGCGGUCCGGUAAGUCCGCUGUGAAAGUCGGGGGCUCAACCCUCGAAUGCCGGUGGAUACUGUCGGGCUAGAGUCCGGAAGAGGCGAGUGGAAUUCCUGGUGUAGCGGUGAAAUGCGCAGAUAUCAGGAGGAACACCGAUGGCGAAGGCGACUACCUGGACCAGCACUGACACUGAGGCACGAAAGCGUGGGGAGCAAACAGG